Molecule: long non-coding RNA, 93 nt
Organism: Aricia agestis (brown argus)
Lineage: Eukaryota; Metazoa; Arthropoda; Insecta; Lepidoptera; Lycaenidae
Exons: 4
Source: RefSeq, a predicted model, not a curated record
UACAAACGUCAAUUCUUUAGAACAUGAAAUGUCGCGUCGUGUCGUGUCGCUUUAGUGCGGUCUUGUCUUAAAACAAAGGUGUUUUCUUUAAGU